GGAGUUUUCGGCAAUGGGCGAAACCCUGACCGAGCAACGCCGCGUGAGUGAUGACGGCCCUAUGGGUUGUAAAGCUCUGUUGUAAGGGACGAAUGACUAGCUUAGGAAAUGAAGUUAGUUUGACGGUACCUUACCAGAAAGCCACGGCUAACUACGUGCCAGCAGCCGCGGUAAUACGUAGGUGGCAAGCGUUAUCCGGAAUUAUUGGGCGUAAAGAGGGAGCAGGCGACAUGAUAAGUUUGAAGUGAAAGCGUAAGGCUCAACCUUAUACAGCUUCGAAAACUGUCAAGUUAGAGUACGAGAGAGGUAAACGGAACUCCAUGUGUAGCGGUGAAAUGCGUAGAUAUAUGGAAGAACACCAGUGGCGAAGGCGGUUUACUAGCUCGAAACUGACGCUCAGUCCCGAAAGCGUGGGUAGCAAAUA
RNAcentral lists this ribosomal RNA (424 nucleotides) under uncultured bacterium. Its description in RNAcentral is "bacterial SSU rRNA". It matches the Rfam family "Bacterial small subunit ribosomal RNA", at positions 358 to 774 of the family's 1533-position model. The record is from RNAcentral.